This 585-nucleotide ribosomal RNA is filed under the name uncultured bacterium. Its description in RNAcentral is "bacterial SSU rRNA". It matches the Rfam family "Bacterial small subunit ribosomal RNA", at positions 338 to 916 of the family's 1533-position model. The record is from RNAcentral.
CCUACGGGAGGCAGCAGUGGGGAAUUUUGGACAAUGGGCGCAAGCCUGAUCCAGCCAUGCCGCGUGUGGGAAGAAGGCCUUCGGGUUGUAAACCACUUUUGUCAGGGAAGAAACGGCUUUUUCUAAUACAGAGAGCUAAUGACGGUACCUGAAGAAUAAGCACCGGCUAACUACGUGCCAGCAGCCGCGGUAAUACGUAGGGUGCAAGCGUUAAUCGGAAUUACUGGGCGUAAAGCGUGCGCAGGCGGCUUUGCAAGACAGAUGUGAAAUCCCCGGGCUCAACCUGGGAACUGCAUUUGUGACUGCAUGGCUAGAGUACGGUAGAGGGGGAUGGAAUUCCGCGUGUAGCAGUGAAAUGCGUAGAUAUGCGGAGGAACACCGAUGGCGAAGGCAAUCCCCUGGACCUGUACUGACGCUCAUGCACGAAAGCGUGGGGAGCAAACAGGAUUAGAUACCCUGGUAGUCCACGCCCUAAACGAUGUCAACUGGUUGUUGGACGGCUUGCUGUUCAGUAACGAAGCUAACGCGUGAAGUUGACCGCCUGGGGAGUCGGCCGCAAGGUUGAAACGUCAAAGGAAUUGACGG